RNA transcript from Musca domestica (house fly), 4910 nucleotides. RefSeq lists it as uncharacterized. Lineage: Eukaryota; Metazoa; Arthropoda; Insecta; Diptera; Muscidae. The transcript is spliced from 3 exons. The record is from RefSeq and is a predicted model, not a curated record.
CGACACAAUCAAUAAGUACUACCCAUGGUAGAAUAAUUAGCAGAUUUUGUACGUAAAUCUUAUGUCAGACUUAUAUGUCCAAAACUGUAAAUAAACCUAUAAAGUAUUUUUAUUCCUAAAUUCCUAAAAUGUAAUUUUUUAUGAUUUGAAUUAUUGAAUUAAAAUGCACAACAAAUAUUCCUAAAAUGUUUAAUUUUAUUAAUAUGAUUUGUUUAUUCGAUACACUACGGAGUUGCGGUGAUUCGUAGUCGGUCUCUGAUAGGUACUACCAUGGUACAAUGAAGAGAAGGUAGGUCAACUUUGAAAAAAAUGCAAGUAUAGAGGUCUACCUGUUUGGCUUGUAAUGUCAGAAUUGCUAUCAAAAAAAUAAAAAAGCAAACAACUUGUUGCAUUGAUUUUGAAUAAAUAAUUUAAAACCGCGAAAACUGAAUAAAAGGUCAACAUUUCUUUUCAAAAUCAUGUUCUAUAUAUCUCUUAUGGUUUAUUUCGCGACAAAAACUGUAGAUUUUGUCGAUGCAUACGUUGCAAUAAGCAUUUUAAAAACACCCGAAUUUGAAUAUUUUGUGAACAAUUUUUCUAUUAUUGAAAAGAAGACACACACAUAAGCAAAUGAAGUUGACAUAUUAAGCCAGAAAAAUAAAAAAAUUGAAAUCAUAUGGUAGUUCUGCCCUACCUUGAAUUCAUUGUACCAUGGGUACUACCAUGCCGCAAUAACAAGCUCUUGCACAAAUUUUACAACCCAAAUUUGUUUCAAAUUUGGUGUUUGAUAUUCGCAAUAGAUAUAAUAAUAUUUGGGCUUAACGUUGGCACUUUUGGUAGGUAUUUUUACCCUGAUUCCGGGAAACUAUUUUUUUCUUGGGGGACGGACCUGGGACCCCAGAUUUUUACCCGAAUGUCCGGAUUCGAGACCCGGGCUAGACUUACCGGAUACACUUACCCAAUAUAGACUAUAUAUGUUGGAAAGCUAUAAGCAACGUUUAUUAAUGAUAUUUUACAAAAUUAUUCAAUCCAACUCUCCGUAAGUAUUGCGCACCAGUUUUGUUUUUUCCCAUUCAACCCAUCAUACACAGAUUGUAAUUUCACUUUUAUUUUUCUCAGAGUUUGAACGAAAAUUUAUUGUUAGGGUUCCACGGAUAUGGAAAGUUCUUCCUCUGCGUCUUCGCACUUUUGUCUAUCCAACCAAUAUAUUUAAAAAUAAGUACAUAACUUUCACUUCAACUGCAGUACUUCAACUCAGUUACAUAAAAUGCAGAGCUGGGAAUGCUGGUUUGAAAUGAGGUUACUUUUUUUGUGGAGGGUGUGGAGGGUAUAAAAAUUUUCAAUGUGGUUAGUGUUUUGGUAUAGUGUUUGGUUCUUUUCUGCUCUAUCAUGUGCCAUGGUAGAAGAACAUAGGUAGACGCAUCGAAACAGCUACUGGAACAAUGAACUGCCAAACCAAUUUUGAAAUUGAAAAUGUUAAAUGAAAAAUUAUUUAAUGCAUCUAUCUGUAUUCCUCUAUCAUGAUCGUGUGCUAAGCAUAGUAGAAUUAAGGAAGUGAAGUCAUUUCAAAUAAGCAUUCCCAUCUUUGGAAUUAGAAAUAUUGAAUGAAAAAUUAUUUAUAUUUGUAAAAACGGUUGAAAACGCGUAUUAUAAUAACCUCCGAAUGACGUCGUAUAAGAAAACUUAUAAAAAUCUACUUAUAUUUGAAGAGACAUUUAAACAUUUUUGACAUAUUAAUGUUCCCAAGCGUCGGUGCAUCUAUCUGUAUUCCUCUAUCUUUAUCAUGAGAUAAGCGUGGUAUAAUUAAGGAGGUGAAGUCAUUUCAGAUAAGCAUUCCCAUCUUUGCCUUUUCUGUAACUGAGCUUGUCAAAUACAAUCGUUCAAAUGAAUUGUCACAACAAAAACAAGACUCGUUAAUUAACAUUUAUAAACCAUCCAUAUAUUCAAUCAAUCUUGUGAAAUGAAAUGUUUGUGAAAAAAAUGGUUAAAGGUAUUUUGUAAUCGGUUCCCGUAAAAAGAGGAUUUUUUCCGAAGGUCGCCGUUUUUAUCCUGAUUAAUGCAAUAUACAUUUUGUAAAGAAGAAACCUGUACCCUCUAUAACAUAUGGUCACAGAUGGUGACAUCAUUUCAAAACUUUGAUUCGUGUAGCCUGCAUUGAACUCAUAUUGGUUAACUGCUUCAAAAUAAAUACUAAUAUUUGCACCAGUUCUCGGUCAGGUGUGAAAAGGGACAAUAUCGACCAGCUUUUUAGUACCUCCGAUUGUCUUAUGAAAGAUUGCAUAUGAGAAACGAAUAGAACGGACCACUCCUACUAGUUCCUCACGGGUUAAAAUUUUGAAUGACAUUGCCACCCAUAAAAGGCGAAUUGAACGGUACACCCGAACAUUUGCAUCAAUACAGGAUCUCUUAUGGAGAAGGGAUACAUCGGUCCUCCUGGCUCUCCCCACAAAGCCUCAACAUUUUGAAUAACCAUAUAUCAUAUACAAUGUGAAGAGGAAGUUGUCUUAAAAUUUUGCACAACCAAAUAUUUCUACCAACACGAGAUCUGGUAUGAAGUUGGGAUUACUCCUUCUGAUACCUCCACCAUAACGGGUGAAAAUUUUAUCCCUGUACAUCUGCAUACACAGAAUCUGACGAAGAGGUGGGACGUAGCUCCGUUUGGAAAAUUAAACGAUGCUUGUCCAAAAAUUAUAAGUGUCACAUGCUUGGGACCAUCAUUUGGCUCUUCUUCGGAUUGGGAAUAACAGAAAAAUAUCAAUUUCGGCGAAAAAUUGUUUUUGUUUGCAUAGGAAAUACGUUUUCAUAUUUUCAAAUUCAAAAUGUGUAUUUUGAAUUUGAAUUUAUGUUUUUUUGUUAUGUUUUGUUUGCAUUAGUUUAUCUUCUUGAUUCUAAUAGAAAUGGUAAUAUCAUUGUUUCAUAUAAAAUUCAUUUCCCUGAAUGUAUAGUUGUUAGCUGUUUGUUCCUAAUCUCUCAACACUUCAAGCAAUCACUAGAAAAUCGUGGAAAAGGCAACAUCCCUUUCAAGUUGAACCCAAACAGCAUACAUAUAUAAAGUAUCUACAUUUUCUAAUUUUAGGAAACAUGAAAUAUAUGACUAUAUUUUCUAACGUGGUGUCGCUGUUCCUUAACCGCAAAAAAAGAUUCCGAACAAUCGCCUUUGGUGUUUUGUUAAGUACAACGGCGAUUUUUUCUAUUCUUAGCCAAAAAAUAUUUUUACAUUGCCCUGCAGUAAAUUUUUAUAUCAAAAAAAGCUAUACCUAUUGAAUAUCAGGGAAUGGAAUUAAAUUACAAAACGUCAUAUCGAGUUUGAUACUGGUAUUACUAUAGAGUCAAAUCAGCUGGGACUUGCUGUUACCUGUAAUAAUUACACCAUGGUUGAGUUCCUUGCAUGGUAGAAGAAUACAGGUAGUCGCUAAUGCAGAAAAACAAAAAUCAUUUUUUGUCGUGGUGUGGUGCUGAAGUAUUUGAUUUGCUAAAAAAUUUUUUUGGUGUCGCGAGUCUAGAACAGUAUACGUAUAAAGAGCUAACAUCGAAGCUAACAGAACAUAUCGCUAUAUGUCAACAUGUAGUAGCAGCGCGGUAUGAGUUUUUCAAGAGACAAAUGAGAAGUACACAACCAUACAGUAAAUGGAUAGCAGAUUUGCGAGUCUAGCGAGAGCUUGCAGUUUCGUAUGUAGCGCAACAGAAUGCGCACCUAGCUUCGUCGACGACAUGAUCAGAGACCACAUAAUAGUUCACACACCACAUGACUCAGUUAGAGCUGAUCUGCUCCAGAAGCAGAGAUCAACGCUUACUGAUGUGUUAUUAAUAGCAGAGCCAUAUGAGGCAACAACAACAGCGGUUGGUGUAUUAAAAGAGAUCCCGGUACAUAUGCAUACUCAGAAGCUGACGAAAAGAUGGUACGUAGCUCCGUUUGGAAAAUUAAACGAUGCCUGUCCAAAAAUUAUAAGAGUCACAUGCUUGGGACCAUCAUUUGGCUCUUCUUCGGAUUUGGGAAUAAUAGGAAAAACAUCAAUUUCGGCGAAAAUUUGUUUUUGUUUACAUAAGAAAUACGUUUUCAUGUUUUCAAAUUCAAAAUUUUUAUUUUGAAUUUGAAUUUAUGUUUUGCAAAAUCAUUUUUACAAUGAGAUGUGGUCAAAUGGAUAAUUUUGAAAAAAAAAAAUUAUGCAUAUGAUUGUUUGACUUAACCUUCUUUAUUCUACCAUGGCGCUAAGUGUGGGCAGACAUAUGACACUCAAUAGAAAAAAGGUUUAAAUUAUUAGUAUUCUUAAUUUUUCGUCUAAAACAGUAUAUAAAUUUGAAAUAGAAAUAUAAAAUUUAAUUGCUGUGAAGUAAAAAUUCUCAUUGUUUUACUUUUUUUGUUAAGAAAGUAAUAUCCAUGGCAAAAAUGAGAAGGUUAAGUCAUUUCAAAAAUGCACACCCAUCUCUGCAUUUUCUGUAAUUUACGUUGUCAAAUUUCGCUACAUAAAAACUAAGUUUUCACCUCUGAUUUGUGUGUUUACAAUGGAUGUGUAUAUAUAAAUUUUGACCAUGAAAUAUUGUCAAAUGAUUAAUUUUGAAUAAACUUGUAAAUAUAUGUUUGCAUGUGUUUAUCUUUUUGACUCUACCAUGGUAUUAUCACAGUUUCAUGUUUUAUUUAAUUAAAGUUCGUGUAAUAUAUGUACACUUUGUAUUUGCUUAAAUGUACUUUUAGAGACUUUAUUAGUACUACUUUAAUACCAACACUAUCAUAAGUCCCAAAAUUGUCAACCUUGUAAAUAGAAGCUUAGAAAUUAUUUGAAUAAAUGUUCAGUUCCAUCAUAGAAGAAUACAGGUAGAUGCAUCAACGCUUGGGACAUUGAUAUGUCAAAAAAUUUUAAAUGUUGUUUCAAAUAUAAGUAGAUUUAUACAUAUUUUCUUUUACGACGUCAUUCGCAGGUUAUUAUAAUUCG